This 440-nucleotide ribosomal RNA is filed under the name uncultured bacterium. RNAcentral describes it as "bacterial SSU rRNA". It matches the Rfam family "Bacterial small subunit ribosomal RNA", at positions 338 to 775 of the family's 1533-position model. The record is from RNAcentral.
CCUACGGGAGGCAGCAGUGAGGAAUAUUGCGCAAUGGAGGAAACUCUGACGCAGCCAUGCCGCGUGCAGGAAGACUGCCCUAUGGGUUGUAAACUGCUUUUAUAUAGGAAGAACUAUAGCUACGUGUAGCUAUUUGACGGUACUAUACGAAUAAGGACCGGCUAACUCCGUGCCAGCAGCCGCGGUAAUACGGAGGGUCCAAGCGUUAUCCGGAUUUAUUGGGUUUAAAGGGUCCGUAGGCGGGUUAUUAAGUCAGUGGUGAAAUCCUACAGCUCAACUGUAGAACUGCCAUUGAAACUGUUAACCUUGAGUAUAAUUGAAGUGGGCGGAAUGUGUCAUGUAGCGGUGAAAUGCUUAGAUAUGACACAGAACACCGAUUGCGAAGGCAGCUCACUAAGUUAUAACUGACGCUGAGGGACGAAAGCGUGGGUAGCGAACAG